AUGCACGGGUCAUCCCACAUUGGUACGCUUGUUUCACUGUCCGUAGUAGCUCGGUAGGCACUGACUGCGUUGUCCCUGUGCCUGAACUCUUCUGCUAGCGCCUCAUCCAUCGCACUCCUGCUGCGCUCAACAUGGAGCACAGGAAAAAAAUGCUGUGCUACGCUAAACCAGCACAGUACCCCACAUCAUGGGAUUUUCAUGCUGACCACAGGACAAAACCAUGGGAAAAAUUCCUUAAGGACAAAAGCCAGAAACCAGAUCCAGGUUCCUGGCAGCAGAAAUAGCAGCUGGACUGAACAAUCGGGCAAGCUGGCAGCAGAAGGUGUGAGAUUCAGGUCUCCAAGAAAGAGUGAGGUGAAUACAGGCUGAAAUGGGAUGUACCAAAGUUCUGAUAUACACUUGACAGGAACCUUUA
Vidua chalybeata is the source of this 415-nucleotide long non-coding RNA. RefSeq lists it as uncharacterized. NCBI's taxonomy places the organism in Eukaryota, Metazoa, Chordata, Aves, Passeriformes, Viduidae. The transcript has 3 exons. The record is from RefSeq and is a predicted model, not a curated record.